Molecule: ribosomal RNA, 421 nt
Filed under: uncultured bacterium
Lineage: Bacteria
Description: bacterial SSU rRNA
Rfam family: Bacterial small subunit ribosomal RNA
Source: RNAcentral
UUUUGGACAAUGGGCGAAAGCCUGAUCCAGCAAUGCCGCGUGCAGGAUGAAGGCCUUCGGGUUGUAAACUGCUUUUGUACGGAACGAACAGUCUCGGGAUAACACCUCGGGACCAUGACGGUACCGUAAGAAUAAGCACCGGCUAACUACGUGCCAGCAGCCGCGGUAAUACGUAGGGUGCAAGCGUUAAUCGGAAUUACUGGGCGUAAAGCGUGCGCAGGCGGUUAUGUAAGACAGAUGUGAAAUCCCCGGGCUCAACCUGGGAACUGCAUUUGUGACUGCAUAGCUGGAGUACGGCAGAGGGGGAUGGAAUUCCGCGUGUAGCAGUGAAAUGCGUAGAUAUGCGGAGGAACACCGAUGGCGAAGGCAAUCCCCUGGGCCUGUACUGACGCUCAUGCACGAAAGCGUGGGGAGCAAAUAG